UACGUAGGGGGCAAGCGUUAUCCGGAUUUACUGGGUGUAAAGGGGGCGCAGACGGCCAUGGCAAGCCCGGUGUGAAAGGCAGGGGCAUAACCCCUGGACUGCACUGGGAACUGUCAGGCUGGAGUGCCGGAGGGGUAAGCGGAAUUCCUGGUGUAGCGGUGAAAUGCGUAGAUAUCAGGAGGAACACCGGCGGCGAAGGCGGCUUACCAAGCUACUUCUGACGUUGAGGCACGAAAGCGUGGGGAGCAAACAGG
This 254-nucleotide ribosomal RNA is filed under the name uncultured Eubacteriales bacterium. Its description in RNAcentral is "uncultured Clostridiales bacterium partial 16S ribosomal RNA". It matches the Rfam family "Bacterial small subunit ribosomal RNA", at positions 524 to 776 of the family's 1533-position model. The record is from RNAcentral. Lineage: Bacteria; Bacillati; Bacillota; Clostridia; Eubacteriales.